UACGAGGGGUGCAAGCGUUACUCGGAAUUACUGGGCGUAAAGCGUGCGUAGGUGGUUUGUUAAGUCUGUUGUGAAAGCCCCGGGCUCAACCUGGGAAUGGCAAUGGAUACUGGCAAGCUAGAGUGCGGUAGAGGGUAGUGGAAUUCCCGGUGUAGCGGUGAAAUGCGUAGAGAUCGGGAGGAACACCAGUGGCGAAGGCGGCAUCCUGGACCGGUAUUGACGCUGAGGCGCGAAAGCUGGGGGAGCAAACGGG
RNAcentral lists this ribosomal RNA (253 nucleotides) under uncultured bacterium. RNAcentral's name for it is "partial 16S ribosomal RNA". It matches the Rfam family "Bacterial small subunit ribosomal RNA", at positions 524 to 776 of the family's 1533-position model. The record is from RNAcentral.